CUUAUAGAAGGUGAUACUCUUAUAGAAGGCGAUAGUCUUAUAGAAGGUGAUACUCUGAUAGAAGGUGAUAGUUUUAUAGAAGGUGAUACUCUGAUAGAAGGUGAUACUCUUAUAGAAGGUGAUACUCUGAUAGAAGGUGAUAGUUUUAUAGAGGGUGAUACUCUUACAGAAGGUGAUACACUUAUAGAAGGUGAUAGUCUUACAGGAGGUGAUACUCAAGUCUUGUUUUGCCUAGAUAUGAGGGAGACUAAAUGCCUAAAAAUAUUUGAUUGUAAUCAAAUAUCUAAUCACUUGGAAACGUUCACAAACAAAAUUCAU
This is a long non-coding RNA of Ictalurus punctatus (channel catfish), 318 nucleotides long. The record is from Ensembl. Lineage: Eukaryota; Metazoa; Chordata; Actinopteri; Siluriformes; Ictaluridae.